CCUACGGGAGGCAGCAGUCGGGAAUUUUGGGCAAUGGGCGAAAGCCUGACCCAGCAACGCCGCGUGAAGGAUGAAAUCCCUCGGGAUGUAAACUUCGCAAGAACAGGAAGAAUAAGUAAGAGUUAAUAUCUCUUACGAUGACGGUACUGUUUGUAAGCUCCGGCUAACUCCGUGCCAGCAGCCGCGGUAAU
This 191-nucleotide ribosomal RNA is filed under the name uncultured bacterium. RNAcentral's name for it is "partial 16S ribosomal RNA". It matches the Rfam family "Bacterial small subunit ribosomal RNA", at positions 338 to 524 of the family's 1533-position model. The record is from RNAcentral.